Paramisgurnus dabryanus is the source of this 2400-nucleotide non-coding RNA. NCBI's taxonomy places the organism in Eukaryota, Metazoa, Chordata, Actinopteri, Cypriniformes, Cobitidae. The record is from RefSeq and is a predicted model, not a curated record.
AAAAAUUAUAUAAAUACUGUUCGGCUUCUCGCACAAACCGAUCGUUUCGUUUCUUAGGAUAUCAAUGUGUCGUCACGAGCGGCAGGGUUUAAUUUGGAUUUGUCUGUGCAUGUUUUUACUGUCUGAGAUUUUGUUACUAUUCACAUGCAUACAGACUGAAACGGUUGGAGUUUCUACAUUUGUGUUGUACUGAAGAAACAAAAUCACAUACAUCUUGGAUGGCCUCGGGGUAAGCUGAUAAAUACAAAAAAUUCAUUUUAAGAUGAAUCCCGUACGUUGGCGGCUGUUUUAAACUGGGUGCUCGGCUCCGACCCUUUUGCCAGUAUGAAGCCGAUUUCAACGGUAACUGCAGAAAGCGUCAGCACGCUCAGCUCAUCACUGGAGUAACGUCUGUACAACGGGUGAGAUAAAACUCAACGCCUGACUGAAUCAUCCAUUCCCUUUUCGAUCCUACGCCAUACGUUAAACUUGAGGUAAUCUUGCUUUUGCUGUUCUAAAAUAAACACUGCUCUUAGGUAAGAAUGGCUGAUCAAAUGCAUUAUUUUAAAUCUAAUCUGAGACACAAAGCAGUUAAAUCGUUGUCUAAUUUGCUGCAAGGUAUUAAGAACGACAGUAAGCUUGUUGACGAUGAUCUGACUGAUGACUGAUAUGUGUGAUGAGAUUAAAACUAUGGCUGUGCAAAAAAAUCGAUACAGCUAACUACCAUGAUAGUUAGCUGUAUCGAUAGUGUAUCGAUAUUUCGAUCUCUACUGUCGAUAUUUUAAAAAACAUCAAAUCCCUCUGUGUGCGUCAAACGACCUCCUCGCCGCUGCUAUAGUUGUCACUGUCCAGUUGUCUGCCAUAUACGGCCAUUCGGCCAAUGUCUCAGAAGUUAGAGGGAGUGAGAAAAUGGCAGAAAAUUUAAAAACACCUGCAUCUUUCAAAGAGCUGCAGGUGUUCAGCUCUAUUUUUUACAUUUUUGAUUGUAUUGUGAUACGUAUCUUAUCAUGACCCAUGUAUCGUGACACGUAUCGUAUCGGGAGGCCCUUGCCAAUACCCAGCCCUAAUUAAAACAACUUUUCUUUUAGCACACCACCCAUACAUGGCACACAAAACAGGUCUUGUGAGGGGGCUGUGCCCACAGGUAGAAAUUCUGUAGGUCCACGGGCUUCUCCCCUUUCAGCGAACAUCACAGCGCUUAGUCCACCAUCGUGGUCUCCAAUCUCCAUUACCAACAGCCUGAGUGCUACACCUACAGACACCCCAACCCAUGCAGCAGCUGGCAGAAGUCAGACAUCAGGCCAAACUGGAUUUCAACACACCCCACCCUUACAUGGCACACAAGUAUAUGACACACAACACAGGUCUUCUCAGGAGGCUGUGCCUACAGCAAUAGGCUUUAUGCCCAGCUGCACUACUUCCUGAACUUCAGCCAGCUGCUUGUUUCCUGUCUGCCAUUAUUGGACAAACUGAUUAAUCCAGGUGUGCCUGAGCUUAGUAGUCACAACAACAAUAAUCAGACACACCUGGAUUUAUCAGUUUGUCCAGUAAUGGCAGACAGGAAACAAGGAGCUUAAAGCCUAUUGCUAAGGAGAUCCUCAUCCAGCUCGAUUUUAUUAGAGAGCAGCAGUUGCAGACUUCACCCCAGACCCAACACAUUUUGGGCUCCCACUUUCAACUAUUGAGGAGCUACAAUGUUUGUAGGAGACAUUAAAUAAUCCAGAUGAGAAGAAGAAUUUGGUGAGACUGUGUUUCCUGCAAUGGUCGGAGACAAGACUCUUAAAGACACCGUGGGGUGGGUCCUGAAAAAAACAAUGAACUCUUCGUGGUGAGACUCAUCAAUUGAAGUGGGGUCAACUGAACGCCUGCAUUCAAAGGGCUCACUUUGAAAAGUGUGGUUUUGGAUGCAGUCCGCCGGAAUGCCCUGACCAAAGAUUACACAGAAAAGGAGAUAGAGCUCCUCAUCACCAGGUGGUCGGUGCUAGCAUAUGACAGGGAUGGUGGCCGAAUCCAGACAAUAGACAGACAAUGAAUUAAAAUGUUUUAAAUUUAAAAAUGUUGAUUUUUGGAAAAUUCGUAUUUGAACUGAUUGUGUGUGUGUGUGUGUGCACCUGGUAAUUAUCACGUUGUGUCCCCACAAAGAUAGGAAUACCAGUAUUUUUGUGACCUUGUGUCCCCAUGAGGAAACAAGCUUAUAAAUCAAACAAAAUGAUGUUUCUUGUAAAUGUGAAGUAGGAGAAGGGUUUCUGUGAUGGUUGGGUUUAGGGAAUGGGGUAGGUAAGGGGAAUAAAAUAUACAGUUUGUAUGGUAUAAAAUGCAUUACGUCUAUGGAAUGUCCCCACAAAACAUGGAAACCUGUUUGUGUGUACGAGAGAGAGAGAAUGUGUGUUCAAGUGAAUAAAAAAUGCAUUAAACGUGAAA